UGCAUGUCUAAGUAUAAGCAAUUAUACAGCGAAACUGCGAAUGGCUCAUUAUAUAAGUUAUCGUUUAUUUGAUAGUACCUUACUACUUGGAUAACCGUGGUAAUUCUAGAGCUAAUACAUGCUAAAAAUCCCGACUUCGGAAGGGAUGUAUUUAUUAGAUUAAAAACCAAUGCCCUUUGGGCUCCUUGGUGAUUCAUAAUAACUUUUCGAAUCGCAUGGCCUUGCGCCGGCGAUGGUUCAUUCAAAUUUCUUCCCUAUCAACUUUCGAUGUUUGGGUAUUGGCCAAACAUGGUCGCAACGGGUAACGGAGGGUUAGGGCUCGACCCCGGAGAAGGAGCCUGAGAAACGGCUACUACAUCCAAGGAAGGCAGCAGGCGCGCAAAUUACCCAAUCCCGAUUCGGGGAGGUAGUGACAAUAAAUACUGAUACAGGGCUCUUUUGGGUCUUGUAAUUGGAAUGAGUACAAUUUAAAUCCCUUAACGAGGAACAAUUGGAGGGCAAGUCUGGUGCCAGCAGCCGCGGUAAUUCCAGCUCCAAUAGCGUAUAUUAAAGUUGUUGUGGUUAAAAAGCUCGUAGUUGAACCUUGGGCCUGGCUGGCCGGUCCGCCUCACCGCGUGUACUGGUCCGGCCGGGCCUUUCCCUCUGUGGAACCUCAUGCCCUUCACUGGGUGUGGCGGGGAAACAGGACUUUUACUUUGAAAAAAUUAGAGUGCUCCAGGCAGGCCUAUGCUCGAAUACAUUAGCAUGGAAUAAUAAAAUAGGACGUGUGGUUCUAUUUUGUUGGUUUCUAGGACCGCCGUAAUGAUUAAUAGGGACAGUCGGGGGCAUCAGUAUUCAAUUGUCAGAGGUGAAAUUCUUGGAUUUAUUGAAGACUAACUACUGCGAAAGCAUUUGCCAAGGAUGUUUUCAUUAAUCAGGAACGAAAGUUA
Molecule: ribosomal RNA, 929 nt
Filed under: Hypocreales sp. C19-1
Lineage: Eukaryota; Fungi; Ascomycota; Sordariomycetes; Hypocreales
Description: SSU rRNA
Rfam family: Eukaryotic small subunit ribosomal RNA
Source: RNAcentral